CAACAUGACAUCAGCCUUUUGUAAGACAUCCAUUAACUGUCAAAGGAAAAUGUCAAUCGGUUUGUGUAAACAAUCAUUGCGGUCUAUAAAUUCGCGUUUAUGUACUGCAUGAGCAGCCGAAAUGGAUAACGUUAAUACAUUGUACGAAAAUUAUAUAAGUAAAGGGAGUCAUCGACCCAGCUCGCGCCAUGCUUUAAAGAUAUUUGGAGACGGGAUCAACGGCCGACCUCGCGGUAGUGCAAGUUAUAGGAUAAUAGCACGUGUAUACGCUGUGUUCGUAUGUCGGCGAUCAAGUUACACUGAGCAUUUUAUUUGCAAGCCGUUAAAAAUAGAUCAUUAUUAAAACGUACGGCGAUUUUCUAGCGCCAUCUCGUAAAACUUUCAAAUAUCAAGAAUUGGACUACGUGUAGUUUGCUAUUGCUGUUCGCUGUUUGCGUUUUCCGUAAACUUCAAUAGGUGGCGUUGUUAUCCUAAUAACUAUAUAUUGUGACUGCUAUUAAAAUUUAAAACGCCAUCUAUACAAGCCUAUACCCGUGCCUAUAAUUUCAGCGAUAUUCAAAUAUAAUGUUGUAUUACAAUAAGAUAUUCUUGGCUUUUGCUGAAGUGUAUAGUAAAUACCACACCCAGUACUAAAUCAGCCUUGCGGUGUAAAUUAAUAAAUCGUAACGGUUUGUCAAUUUGUACCAAAAAUAUAAAGUUCGGCGUAAGUUUCUUCAUAGUAAAAUUAUACUGGUAAUCAAAAGUGUUGUGCGUCAUAUAAUUAAUAAUCGGAAUGCAGUGUAGGGUCAAACAGCAACCCUAAAUUAAUAUAAAUCCUAAUACUCUCAUAUAAAUGAAUUAUUUGCAUAUUAAUGUCAAAUGUGUGAGCUCCAGCGGUGUAACCAUGAGUAUUAAGAAACUAUAUUUUGUAUCUGUGUACUUUUUUUUGACGUUUUUAAAUUAGGAAUUUCUUCGAGUGAAAAAUUUAAGUCUAUUACUUUUAAUCGCAUUAAAUUAAACAAAUUAAACUUAGUACGUAUUACUAUUGCAAUAUUCAGAGUGAGACUUCCUAAACUCAGGUUGUUGGGCACAUAGCUCCUAGGAGGGUAAAGGUCGUCGAAAAGUAAGUAACGGAACUAGGGAGGCUUAUAUCAAUCAAAUAGCUUGAACAUUAUAAAGAGUUUGCAAACGUCCAAAAAAAUCUCGAAAUUUUAUGUAUGAGAUUUUGUUUGUAACGGUAAUAAAAAAAACUUUUAAGUGAAAGUUAUAUUAAGUUGCACUAAAUUUUAUCUCCUAUCUAUCGCAUGUUGCGUUUCAAUCGGACGUGGAGUAGCGGUAUAGUGAAAAGACGUUUACAGAUUACCGAAAGCCAAUAUGGCGGCAGUAAUGGCUCGCAUAAGGUUAUCAUUUAGAACAGGGUUUUUCAACCUUAUUCGUACCACAGCCCUUUUAGUAUGAAUAAAUAAGUCGC
Danaus plexippus (monarch butterfly) is the source of this 1450-nucleotide long non-coding RNA. RefSeq lists it as uncharacterized. The record is from RefSeq and is a predicted model, not a curated record. Lineage: Eukaryota; Metazoa; Arthropoda; Insecta; Lepidoptera; Nymphalidae. The transcript has 3 exons.